Molecule: unclassified non-coding RNA, 224 nt
Filed under: Hevea brasiliensis (rubber tree)
Lineage: Eukaryota; Viridiplantae; Streptophyta; Magnoliopsida; Malpighiales; Euphorbiaceae
Source: RNAcentral
AUUGCUCAGUACUGUAAGCAUACCAUUAAAUGAAAGGAUGCUUUUCACUUCUUCAACAACCUGUGUUCGGUUAUUCAAGUUGUUCAAGGCUGUUGAAAUGUUUUCUUCAACUAACUUCUUUGCAUGCUCCCUGAACAUCUCAGAAGCAAUCUCAUCAGAAAGUUUAUAUGCUAGUUGUGAUCUCCUUACUUCAAUUAAUGUGCCUAUGUCAAGACCUCUCCCAA